GAAGGUCAAAGGGGAAGUUAAGAAAAGCUGUAUCGAUUGUUGAGAUCUGGCGACUUGCUUAAAUUUCAUCAGCCUCACUUCUAUGGACUCUCAGAGCUGAUUACCAACUCCUACCACUGUUAACCCUCAUCCAGGAACAAGCUUAUGUCUUUAACAUUCUGAGUGGGCUUCAGCAUCCUUGCAUAUGUUCAAUUCUUAAAAACCUGUUGAAAUAAAAGAUCAGGAGACAUAGGAGGGAUGCCAGAAGACAGCGUGGCCUCACGUGUACCAGCUCUCUGCUCUCCUUUGCCUUGGGACGUUCCAUCCCUGGAAGUUUCCCUGCCCACAUCUUUGUAGAGAGUCCAUUCUCCAAGCUUCAGUGUGUCAUCUGUUAGGACUAUGACCCACCUGGUACAUUACCUCAGGGCAUUCAUUUCAGGCUCCUUCUAAGUGGUCAAGUUUUCAAGAUUGUUUUGGCUCUAGCAAAACAAGUUGGAACAUUCACAUCAUCCAAUCUUGCUUUCUUUUGUAUGUUUGCAAAGAAUAAAUAGUACACUUCCUUGAUCCGUGGUUCCUAAAGUGUGAUUCCCAACAAGCAGCAUCAGGAUCACCUGGAAACUUGAUAGAAAUAUAAAUUCUACAGUCCCUCCUUGGAGCUACAGAUUCAGAAAUUCUGAAGUUUAAUUCCAGCAAUUGGUUAUAAUAAGCUCUCUAGGUGAUUCUGACUCACACCAAGGCACCCUUGGAAAUGCAAUGCUAUAUCUCAAUGGGAUUUUCCAGUACAGAGAUUCUUUUCAAUAACAUAAUUGUGGAUACACACCACUCCUGUAGUGGUAAACCUCAGGUUCUCCUCCUGCCUUUUGCUAAGUAUAUGUCUUGAUGACAAGCCUUCUGCUAAUGAGCUGUGUUUCUGGACCGAUCAUGGUAGAAGUCAAUUGAAGUGUCCCUCACUUGGGGUUUCUUAAGGCUGCACUGAUGAGGAAACUGAAACAGAAAAUCCAGAGUAAAUUCCACCAGGCCACACAGCAAGGUCUGAUAGAGCCAGGAGAGACUUUAUGAAAUCCAGACUCUCACACUAAUGCUCUAUCAGCUAGACCUCCAUGUGAGUCUCCCCAAUGUAGGUAGGAAGCACUUUCCC
RNAcentral lists this long non-coding RNA (1117 nucleotides) under Pongo abelii (Sumatran orangutan). Its description in RNAcentral is "lincRNA". Lineage: Eukaryota; Metazoa; Chordata; Mammalia; Primates; Hominidae. The record is from RNAcentral.